This 500-nucleotide ribosomal RNA is filed under the name uncultured bacterium. RNAcentral's name for it is "partial 16S ribosomal RNA". It matches the Rfam family "Bacterial small subunit ribosomal RNA", at positions 29 to 523 of the family's 1533-position model. The record is from RNAcentral.
AUUGAACGCUGGCGGCAUGCCUUACACAUGCAAGUCGAACGGCAGCGCGGACUUCGGUCUGGCGGCGAGUGGCGAACGGGUGAGUAAUACAUCGGAACGUACCCUGUUGUGGGGGAUAACUAGUCGCAAGAUUAGCUAAUACCGCAUACGACCCGAGGGUGAAAGGGGGGGACCGCAAGGCCUUAAGCAGCAGGAACUGCCGAUGUCUGAUUAGCGAGUUGGUGGGGUAAAGGCCCACCAAGGCGACGACCAGUAGCUGGUCUGAGAGGACGAUCAGCCACACUGGGACUGAGACACGGCCCAGACUCCUACGGGAGGCAGCAGUGGGGGAUUUUGGACAAUGGGGGCAACCCUGAUCCAGCAAUGCCGCGUGUGUGAAGAAGGCCUUCGGGUUGUAAAGCACUUUUGUCCGGAAAGAAAUCGCGCUGGUUAAUACCUGGCGUGGAUGACGGUAGCGGAAGAAUAAGCACCGGCUAACUACGUGCCAGAAGCCGCCGUAA